GGGGUUGUAGCUUAGUGGUAGAGCUCUUGCUUCGUAUGUGUGAGGCCCUGGGUUCGAUCCUCAACACCA
This 69-nucleotide transfer RNA is filed under the name Urocitellus parryii (Arctic ground squirrel). RNAcentral's name for it is "Spermophilus parryii (Arctic ground squirrel) tRNA". It matches the Rfam family "tRNA". From Rfam's summary of the family: Transfer RNA (tRNA) molecules are approximately 80 nucleotides in length. Their secondary structure includes four short double-helical elements and three loops (D, anti-codon, and T loops). RNAcentral also lists the same sequence under 1 other name. Lineage: Eukaryota; Metazoa; Chordata; Mammalia; Rodentia; Sciuridae. The record is from Rfam by way of RNAcentral.